AGGAGGUCUGCCUGGUGCCCACCCUGUACAUUCAGACGACAGACAGCUCUCAAGCCUGUCUCCACUCCAGCAAACAGGUACCUCUGGGAGAGGACAGGGAAAGCUUUGAGCUGCCAGCCAACCGGUGCUCAGCACAUGCUUCCUGACUGCUGAGCACAGAAGCCAGCCCAGCUUCCCAGCAUCCUGCCCCGUGCGUAGAUCCACGAUGACCACCCCAAGGGGAAUCUGGGACUUCUAUUACCCAUGAAUUCCUGUGGACUGUAUCCCAUGGACUGUAUUCUCUGCCGCCUGGAGAUGAGCUGUUCUCGUGAGAGCUGGGCCUCUUUCUAAGCCGGCACUCUGAGCACCAUGAUUGUGAAACCCACUGUCGAGAAGCAGGACAA
RNAcentral lists this long non-coding RNA (383 nucleotides) under Rattus norvegicus (Norway rat). RNAcentral's name for it is "long non-coding RNA NONRATT024425". Lineage: Eukaryota; Metazoa; Chordata; Mammalia; Rodentia; Muridae. The record is from RNAcentral.